Molecule: ribosomal RNA, 253 nt
Filed under: uncultured bacterium
Lineage: Bacteria
Description: partial 16S ribosomal RNA
Rfam family: Bacterial small subunit ribosomal RNA
Source: RNAcentral
UACGUAGGGUCCGAGCGUUGUCCGGAAUUAUUGGGCGUAAAGAGCUCGUAGGCGGUUUGUCGCGUCUGCUGUGAAAUCCCGAGGCUCAACCUCGGGUCUGCAGUGGGUACGGGCAGACUGGAGUGCGGUAGGGGAGAAUGGAAUUCCUGGUGUAGCGGUGGAAUGCGCAGAUAUCAGGAGGAACACCGGUGGCGAAGGCAGUUCUCUGGGCCGUAACUGACGCUGAGGAGCGAAAGCGUGGGGAGCGAACAGG